AUCUUUUAGUUGUAAUUAAAAGUGUGCCCUGCCCAAUGUUUAGUAAAUGGCCGCAGUAUUUUGACUGUGCAAAGGUAGCAUAAUAAUUAGUCUUGUAAUUUAAGACUGGAAUGAAGGGGUUAACCAAAAGAGAUCUGUCUAAGUGUGAUUUCUAAACUUUACUUUUUAGUAAAAAGGCUAAAAUUGACCUUUUAGACAAGAAGACCCUAUAAAGUUUGACAUAAUAAGUUUAAAAUAUGAAGAUUAUGUUUAGCUGGGGCGGCGUAAAAAUAAACAUUUUUAGAUUUUAAAUUCUUAGAGUUUUUAUACCCAAAAAUUUUGAACAUUAAAUAAAUUACUUUAGGGAUAACAGCGUUAUAUAUUCAGAAAGUUCAAAUUGACGAAUAUGUUUGCGACCUCGAUGUUGGAUUAGAUUUCCUCUGUUGUGAAAAAGUAACAAUAGGAGGUCUGUUCGACCUUUAAAAAUCUCCA
This 471-nucleotide ribosomal RNA is filed under the name Jaguajir agamemnon. RNAcentral describes it as "partial 16S ribosomal RNA". It matches the Rfam family "Bacterial large subunit ribosomal RNA", at positions 1832 to 2600 of the family's 2925-position model. The record is from RNAcentral. Lineage: Eukaryota; Metazoa; Arthropoda; Arachnida; Scorpiones; Buthidae.